CACCAAAAAACUCUUUUACUAAAAAAUAUAUUGAAGAAGAUUAAAGGAAAGUGGAUUUUACCAGUAUGCACAUACAUACAUCAUCCAAAUUCGAAGACUGCCGACAUUCAUGCCAAAUGAACGUAAACAACAUGUGGAGCCGAACGAAAUAGCAGUGCAUUCGAUGAAGUAUGCAAAAUUGUUGAUGAGUGAAAAAUAAGUGAAGAGUUAUUGUGUUUAAAAUAAAUUAGUUUUCAAUAAGUAAAAGUAUAAAUAUAGAGAAAAGUGAUUGAUAAAAAGUAAGUGAGUAAAAAUAAAAAUAUUGCAGAAGGUGAGGAAAGAUCACUUAUAAUUCCUAUGCAUAUUAGUAAUCAAAUGUUGCUAGUACAAUUAACUAGUUGGUGUUCACGUCAAUUAUCCUCACCAGUUUUGAUUUCCAAGUACAUAUGUAAAACAUAAAUAAAGUCAAUCGAAGAUAUGUGUUGCUUGUGAUAAAUUAUCAUUCAUACAUGUUUGUGCAUAAUUAAAGCAUACAACUCAAUUACUCUGCUGUGCUGCUUAUCUUGAUUCGGCUGAUGACCUAUAAAUAAGAUGAAUCGGACGCUUGAUAUAGUAGCUAGUGAGUCACGCAAAAGUAACAACAAUAGGUAAUAACAGUGCUCUAAAACUAUUAACAAUUAGCUCUUGUUUAACAGUAUGUAAAAAAACUACUAACUAUAACAAUCCUUGGUAUUAGCACAUACGUCAAUUUCAUAACCAUUUUAAAAUACAUAUGAGUUUUGAUGAUAUAUUUACAUUAUCAAUUCCAGGUAUUUGCUACUCAAUAUUUUAUUUGUAUGUGUUCCAUGAAUGUCCAAAUAAUUUACCGGCUUGAAUAUUGUGAGGAUUACGCACAUUGCUUAUUUGCAUGAGGAAUUCUGAUCACUCACAGCUGAACGAUUGUGAGCAAUCGAGUACAAAUUAUUUAUUUACAAAAAAUUGCAAUCGUUUUAGCAAAAACUAGCUUCAGUGAGGAAUCUCCAAUAUAUAUAUAUUCGUUUAUUCGUUUUCCUGCUGGCAGAUAGUCUAUGGAUUAUUAACAGAUUUUCUGUAAAUUGUGCCAUCAGCACGAAAAUAUUUCGAUUAAUGUGUGAAUGAUGUAAAGAAGCUACCAGAAAGCUAAAUUCGAAGAAAUAAAUACAUACUUGUAUAUAUACAUAAAUGCUUAUAUGUUUUGCUUUCAAUUGGCAUCUGUGCAAAUGUCCUUAAGUAAGUUGAGAGUACUCAUAGUACUCAUAACAUUUUUGCAACAGGAUAUCGAAUGCCUGAAGUAGCCAGUUGAAUAAGUAUACUUAUUUGCAAUGAAGAAUUUGUAGAAAAAAGAUUUUACUUGUUUAGAUUGUCAGUUAGAUUGCGUAACAAUUUACGUAGAAGUUCUUCCGUUUUAAUUAUUUAUAAAAGUCUUUUUAAGUAUAUUUCAACCCGCUCCAACUAUUCUAGGUUUACUUAUGGGUAUAGAAUAUAAAAUAUUUCAAUAUUUCUUUUGGGAUAAAUAAAAUAAAUGAUAGAUAAUAUAA
Long non-coding RNA from Bactrocera neohumeralis, 1535 nucleotides. RefSeq lists it as uncharacterized. NCBI's taxonomy places the organism in Eukaryota, Metazoa, Arthropoda, Insecta, Diptera, Tephritidae. The record is from RefSeq and is a predicted model, not a curated record. The transcript has 3 exons.